GACCUCGGAUCAGGUAGGAAUACCCGCUGAACUUAAGCAUAUCAAUAAGCGGAGGAAAAGAAACCAACAGGGAUUACCCUAGUAACGGCGAGUGAAGCGGUAACAGCUCAAAUUUGAAAUCUGGCCUUUACAGGUCCGAGUUGUAAUUUGUAGAGGAUGUUUCGGGCAAGGCUGCGGUUUAAGUUUCUUGGAACAAAACGUCAUAGAGGGUGAGAAUCCCGUCUAGAACCGAUGGCCGCGUCCAUGUGAAACUCCUUCGACGAGUCGAGUUGUUUGGGAAUGCAGCUCAAAAUGGGUGGUAAAUUUCAUCUAAAGCUAAAUAUUGGCCAGAGACCGAUAGCGCACAAGUAGAGUGAUCGAAAGAUGAAAAGCACUUUGAAAAGAGAGUUAAACAGUAUGUGAAAUUGUUGAAAGGGAAGCGCUUGCAACCAG
Molecule: ribosomal RNA, 432 nt
Filed under: uncultured fungus
Lineage: Eukaryota; Fungi
Description: eukaryotic LSU rRNA
Rfam family: Eukaryotic large subunit ribosomal RNA
Source: RNAcentral